RNAcentral lists this non-coding RNA (49 nucleotides) under unclassified sequences. RNAcentral describes it as "ssNA-helicase RNA". It matches the Rfam family "ssNA-helicase RNA". Rfam says of the family: Firmicutes, Actinobacteria (1 example). Downstream gene The record is from Rfam by way of RNAcentral.
UGCCAUAAGGGCUAGUUUUACCCUUAUGGCAUGAAUGUCGCAUGUCGCA